GAAGAUAUAGCUCAAAUGGUAGAGUGCAUGUCUGGCAUGCAUGAGGUCCUGGGUUCAAUUCCCAGUACCUCCA
RNAcentral lists this transfer RNA (73 nucleotides) under Camelus bactrianus (Bactrian camel). It matches the Rfam family "tRNA". From Rfam's summary of the family: Transfer RNA (tRNA) molecules are approximately 80 nucleotides in length. RNAcentral also lists the same sequence under 2 other names. The record is from Rfam by way of RNAcentral. Lineage: Eukaryota; Metazoa; Chordata; Mammalia; Artiodactyla; Camelidae.